RNAcentral lists this ribosomal RNA (501 nucleotides) under uncultured bacterium. RNAcentral describes it as "partial 16S ribosomal RNA". It matches the Rfam family "Bacterial small subunit ribosomal RNA", at positions 29 to 523 of the family's 1533-position model. The record is from RNAcentral.
AUUGAACGCUGGCGGCAUGCCUUACACAUGCAAGUCGAACGGCAGCACGGGUGCUUGCACCUGGUGGCGAGUGGCGAACGGGUGAGUAAUACAUCGGAACGUACCUUAUCGUGGGGGAUAACGCAGCGAAAGCUGUGCUAAUACCGCAUACGCCCUGAGGGGGAAAGCGGGGGAUCGAAAGACCUCGCGCGAUUAGAGCGGCCGAUGCCUGAUUAGCUUGUUGGUGGGGUAAAAGCCCACCAAGGCGACGAUCAGUAGCUGGUCUGAGAGGACGAUCAGACACACUGGGACUGAGACACGGCCCAGACUCCUACGGGAGGCAGCAGUGGGGAAUUUUGGACAAUGGGGGCAACCCUGAUCCAGCAAUGCCGCGUGAGUGAAGAAGGCCUUCGGGUUGUAAAGCUCUUUUGUCAGGGAAGAGACACCGGCUCUAACACAGUCCGUGAAUGACGGUACCUGAAGAAUAAGCACCGGCUAACUACGUGCCAGCAGCCGCCGCAG